AGCGAACGCUGGCGGCAGGCCUAACACAUGCAAGUCGAACGAACCUUUCGGGGUUAGUGGCGGACGGGUGAGUAACACGUGGGAACGUGCCUUUAGGUUCGGAAUAACUCAGGGAAACUUGUGCUAAUACCGAAUGUGCCCUUCGGGGGAAAGAUUUAUCGCCUUUAGAGCGGCCCGCGUCUGAUUAGCUAGUUGGUUGAGGUAAUGGCUCACCAAGGCGACGAUCAGUAGCUGGUCUGAGAGGAUGAUCAGCCACAUUGGGACUGAGACACGGCCCAAACGCGGGAGGGGGGCAGCAGGGGGAUAGCUGGGGAAGUGGGCGAAAGGCUGGAGGAGCCAGGCGGAGAGAAGUGAGAAUUUCUUGGAGUUGUAACAUUUUUUCCCCGGGUAAGAUAAUGAUGUUACACGGGGAAGAAGCCCCGUCCCACGGCGAGCCAGCGGCCGCGGUAAGUAUAGGACUAGACUCCGUCUGAAC
Molecule: ribosomal RNA, 475 nt
Filed under: uncultured bacterium
Lineage: Bacteria
Description: partial 16S ribosomal RNA
Rfam family: Bacterial small subunit ribosomal RNA
Source: RNAcentral